AUUGAACGCUGGCGGCAUGCCUUACACAUGCAAGUCGAACGGUAACGGGCCUUGAGGUUCCGACUAGUGGCGGACGGUGGCGGACUACUUCGGAACGUGCCCGAAUGUGCGUUUUAGCGGGGCAUAAGCUUUGGUAAUAUAGCAUACUACCUACUGCGGAAUACGGGUGACAGCAAGGCAUCUUGCGGCCGUACGCGCCUGUGUGAGACGAUGUCGGAUUAGCUAGUUGGGGGGGUAAAGGCCUACCAAGGCGACGAUCUGUAGCUGGUCUGAGAGGAUGAUCAGCCACACUGGGACUGAGACACGGCCCAGACUCCUACGGGAGGCAGCAGUGGGGAAUAUUGGACAAUGGGCGCAAGCCUGAUCCAGCCAUGCCGCGUGCAGGAUGAAGGCCUUCGGGUUGUAAACUGCCUUUGUACGGAACGAAAAGCCUUCUUUUAAUACAGGAGGGUCAUGACGGUACCGAAAGAAUAAGCACCGGCUAACUACGUG
RNAcentral lists this ribosomal RNA (492 nucleotides) under uncultured bacterium. Its description in RNAcentral is "partial 16S ribosomal RNA". It matches the Rfam family "Bacterial small subunit ribosomal RNA", at positions 30 to 507 of the family's 1533-position model. The record is from RNAcentral.